AUGAACGCUGGCGGCGUGCCUAAUACAUGCAAGUCGAGCGAACGGACGAGAAGCUUGCUUUUCUGAUGUUAGCGGCGGACGGGUGAGUAACACGUGGAUAACCUACCUAUAAGACUGGGAUAACUUCGGGAAACCGGAGCUAAUACCGGAUAAUAUUUUGAACCGCAUGGUUCAAAAGUGAAAGACGGUCUUGCUGCCACUUAUAGAUGGAUCCGCGCUGCAUUAGCUAGUUGGUAAGGUAACGGCUUACCAAGGCAACGAUGCAUAGCCGACCUGAGAGGGUGAUCGGCCACACUGGAACUGAGACACGGUCCAGACUCCUACGGGAGGCAGCAGUAGGGAAUCUUCCGCAAUGGGCGAAAGCCUGACGGAGCAACGCCGCGUGAGUGAUGAAGGUCUUCGGAUCGUAAAACUCUGUUAUUAGGGAAGAACAUAUGUGUAAGUAACUGUGCACAUCUUGACGGUACCUAAUCAGAAAGCCACGGCUAACUACGUG
Molecule: ribosomal RNA, 496 nt
Filed under: uncultured bacterium
Lineage: Bacteria
Description: partial 16S ribosomal RNA
Rfam family: Bacterial small subunit ribosomal RNA
Source: RNAcentral